Molecule: microRNA precursor, 154 nt
Filed under: Vigna radiata var. radiata (mung bean)
Lineage: Eukaryota; Viridiplantae; Streptophyta; Magnoliopsida; Fabales; Fabaceae
Description: pre miRNA mir-166
Rfam family: mir-166 microRNA precursor family
About the family: This family represents the plant microRNA (miRNA) precursor mir-166. Animal miRNAs are transcribed as ~70nt precursors and subsequently processed by the Dicer enzyme to give a ~22nt product.
Source: Rfam by way of RNAcentral
GGUGUGGGGAAUGUUGCUUUGGCUCGAGAGAUGAUGUAUGUGAUGUGCUGUGUCCAUGCCAUGCAUGCAUUCAAUGCCAAUCAUAUAUAUAUAAUAUAUAUGUAUAUCAAAGCACUUGUGACUGUUUCUCGGACCAGGCUUCAUUCCCCUCACU